GACGAACGCUGGCGGCGUGCUUAACACAUGCAAGUCGAACGGAAAGGCCCUGCUUUUGUGGGGUGCUCGAGUGGCGAACGGGUGAGUAACACGUGAGUAACCUGCCCUUGACUUUGGGAUAACUUCAGGAAACUGGGGCUAAUACCGGAUAGGAGCUCCUGCUGCAUGGUGGGGGUUGGAAAGUUUCGGCGGUUGGGGAUGGACUCGCGGCUUAUCAGCUUGUUGGUGGGGUAGUGGCUUACCAAGGCUUUGACGGGUAGCCGGCCUGAGAGGGUGACCGGCCACAUUGGGACUGAGAUACGGCCCAGACUCCUACGGGAGGCAGCAGUGGGGAAUAUUGCACAAUGGGCGGAAGCCUGAUGCAGCAACGCCGCGUGCGGGAUGACGGCCUUCGGGUUGUGAACCGCUUUCGCCUGUGACGAAGCGUGAGUGACGGUAAUGGGUAAAGGAGCACCGGCUAACUACGUG
Molecule: ribosomal RNA, 468 nt
Filed under: uncultured bacterium
Lineage: Bacteria
Description: partial 16S ribosomal RNA
Rfam family: Bacterial small subunit ribosomal RNA
Source: RNAcentral